This is a long non-coding RNA of Bubalus bubalis (water buffalo), 1652 nucleotides long. RefSeq lists it as uncharacterized. The transcript is spliced from 3 exons. NCBI's taxonomy places the organism in Eukaryota, Metazoa, Chordata, Mammalia, Artiodactyla, Bovidae. The record is from RefSeq and is a predicted model, not a curated record.
CUCUAGGAGGUGUCUUGCGGUGAGGUUUGGCUGAAAAGAUGAAAGAUCCAAUAAGAAUUUAGUCAUCCUGACCUCAUACUGCUGUCUCCAUGAAGAUAUGGACAAUGACUCUUCACUGUAUCUGCAUAGACAGCCUGGUACAUGGAUGAAUUCAGUGAAUGAACAAGUUCUUGGGUCUGAUGACUGAAGAGGGAACCAAGGAGACCUUUGACGGCCCUCAGGGGCAACGAGCAACAGCAGCGAAGGUACCUGAGGAGCCCCAUGAGUCACUUCUCGCUGCCUCUGGAGGUGGUGGGUAAGGACACUCUAUCCUUCAUCUACACUUCAUUUGACCAUUUCUUUCUGGAAACUGCUGAAGUUGGACGGGGUCUUCUUUAGAAACCAGACUGGGUCCAGGGUUGAACUAAUUGUUCAAUUGCUAAUUGUUCAACUCUUUGCAACCCCAUGGACUGCAGCAUAGCAGGCUUCCCUGUCCUUCACUAUCUCCCUGAGUUUGCUCAAACUCAUGUCCAUUGAGUCAGUGAUACCAUCCAACCAUUUCAUCCUCUGUUGCCCCCUUUUCCUCCUGCCCUUGAUCCUUCCCAGCAACAAGGUCUUUUCCAAUGAGUCGGCUCUUUGCAUCAGAGUUGGACUGGUUCCGACUAAAACUGAGUCCAGUGUGAGGCCUCAGUUUCUGGUGACCAGGAUGAGUCCCGCUGGGACAUCCCAGUCUCUUUAGAGCCUGCAGAUGGCAUUCUCGGGAAAAUGGCAGAGGCCUAAAAAGGGUAAGAAUCCUCACCAAAGUCAGCCUGCCUAGAUCUCUGUGGAGUCUGGUCAAGGGAGGGAAGUAAAAUUUCAUGUUGUCCCUUCCUUUCCAAAUCCAGAUUGGCAGGAAAAAACAGUUAUUAAUCCCUCAUUUCCCAGGGGUAUCUAUUGCCUUCUCGUUCAUCUUAAUUUGUGUCCUGAGAAAUUGCCUUGACAUUUGUUAGGUGGGACCCCCAAAAUUUGAUUGCACUGAACUAUGGGUUGCAUUCCAUUUGUGGCUAGGGUCCUACUGACCGCUGUCAGCUCUCAAGGGAAUUUCCUGUCUUUCUUUUGGUUAUCUUUGGGAGUAACUCUGGGUCUUGGGAGGGUAAUUUCUUCUGCAUCCUCUUUGGGGAUGUCUCUUCAUCCAGGGGUUGUUCAAUACUGCCAGGAAAUUUUGCUAUUUGUUCUGAUUGAAACCUAACAAGAUAUUCAAAAGCUUUUAAGUCUCCCUAUGGUCAAAAGUUGGCCAAAUUGGAAACUGAUAUUUGGAGCUUGGUAGGAACUUUUCUUUAGGCUAAGCUAAAAUAAUCCUGUGUAUUCAGAAGAAAAGAAAACAUCCUGAAGUCAUUGUGGAAGGAUUUACUCACACAUUUCAAAGGCACACAGGUCUAAAGCUACAAGGUAGGAAUCUCUUGAUUUCCAUUUUAGUUGAAGAUCUCCCUGAUAUAAACAAGCAAAUUGAGGAUGAUGUAGUUGGGUGGGUGGGUAAACCUCUUGAAGUCAUAACUCAAUUCUUUGAGGAAUUAAAAGCAACCAUACUUUCCUUACAAACUGAGUCUUUACUAAAACAGAAAUUCAGCUCUAGAAACAAUUUGAAGCCACCUAUCUUUUUUACCUUGGAGAAGGAAAUGGCAACCCACUCCAUA